AGAGUUUGAUCCUGGCUCAGGAUGAACGCUGGCGGCGUGCUUAACACAUGCAAGUCGAGCGAAGCGGCUGAAUUGAUUCUUCGGAUGAUUUUCAGUUGACUGAGCGGCGGACGGGUGAGUAACGCGUGGGUGACCUGCCCCAUACCGGGGGAUAACAGCUGGAAACGGCUGCUAAUACCGCAUAAGCGCACAGAGCUGCAUGGCUCGGUGUGAAAAACUCCGGUGGUAUGGGAUGGGCCCGCGUCUGAUUAGGCAGUUGGCGGGGUAACGGCCCACCAAACCGACGAUCAGUAGCCGGCCUGAGAGGGCGACCGGCCACAUUGGGACUGAGACACGGCCCAAACUCCUACGGGAGGCAGCAGUGGGGAAUAUUGCACAAUGGGGGAAACCCUGAUGCAGCGACGCCGCGUGAGCGAAGAAGUAUUUCGGUAUGUAAAGCUCUAUCAGCAGGGAAGAUAAUGACGGUACUCAACAAGGAAGUGACGGCUAACUACGUGCCAGCAGCCGCGGUAAAACGUAGGUCACAAGCGUUGUCCGGAAUUACUGGGUGUAAAGGGAGCGCAGGCGGGAAGACAAGUUGGAAGUGAAAUCCAUGGGCUCAACCCAUGAACUGCUUUCAAAACUGUUUUUCUUGAGUAGUGCAGAGGUAGGCGGAAUUCCCGGUGUAGCGGUGGAAUGCGUAGAUAUCGGGAGGAACACCAGUGGCGAAGGCGGCCUACUGGGCACCAACUGACGCUGAGGCUCGAAAGUGUGGGUAGCAAACAGGAUUAGAUACCCUGGUAGUCCACACUGUAAACGAUGAUUACUAGGUGUUGGAGGAUUGACCCCUUCAGUGCCGCAGUUAACACAAUAAGUAAUCCACCUGGGGAGUACGACCGCAAGGUUGAAACUCAAAGGAAUUGACGGGGGCCCGCACAAGCAGUGGAGUAUGUGGUUUAAUUCGACGCAACGCGAAGAACCUUACCAAGUCUUGACAUCCUGCGACGCACAUAGAAAUAUGUGUUUCCUUCGGGACGCAGAGACAGGUGGUGCAUGGUUGUCGUCAGCUCGUGUCGUGAGAUGUUGGGUUAAGUCCCGCAACGAGCGCAACCCUUAUGGUCAGUUACUACGCAAGAGGACUCUGGCCAGACUGCCGUUGACAAAACGGAGGAAGGUGGGGAUGACGUCAAAUCAUCAUGCCCUUUAUGACUUGGGCUACACACGUACUACAAUGGCGUUAAACAAAGAGAAGCAAGACCGCGAGGUGGAGCAAAACUCAGAAACAACGUCCCAGUUCGGACUGCAGGCUGCAACUCGCCUGCACGAAGUCGGAAUUGCUAGUAAUCGCAGAUCAGCAUGCUGCGGUGAAUACGUUCCCGGGCCUUGUACACACCGCCCGUCACACCAUGAGAGCCGGGGGGACCCGAAGUCGGUAGUCUAACCGCAAGGAGGACGCCGCCGAAGGUAAAACUGGUGAUUGGGGUGAAGUCGUAACAAGGUA
RNAcentral lists this ribosomal RNA (1480 nucleotides) under metagenome. Its description in RNAcentral is "bacterial SSU rRNA". It matches the Rfam family "Bacterial small subunit ribosomal RNA". The record is from RNAcentral.